AAAGAGUAUAUUGCACUAUUAUAUCAACACAGUGAUAUAUGAAAACUCGUAUAUGAUGUAUAUCUCUCUAAUUGAGGCGUUAUCCGGUCUGCCAGGAUAUGAAGGCGCAGAGGUGUGCAAAACUCUUU
This 128-nucleotide non-coding RNA is filed under the name unclassified sequences. The record is from Rfam.